Molecule: ribosomal RNA, 372 nt
Filed under: Sulfuriferula multivorans
Lineage: Bacteria; Pseudomonadati; Pseudomonadota; Betaproteobacteria; Nitrosomonadales; Sulfuricellaceae
Description: bacterial SSU rRNA
Rfam family: Bacterial small subunit ribosomal RNA
Source: RNAcentral
GAUUAAACUGAAGAGUUUGAUCCUGGCUCAGAUUGAACGCUGGCGGAAUGCUUUACACAUGCAAGUCGAACGGCAGCACGGGGGCUUGCUCCUGGUGGCGAGUGGCGAACGGGUGAGUAACGCGUCGGAACGUACCGAGUAAUGGGGGAUAACGCAGCGAAAGCUGUGCUAAUACCGCAUACGCCCUGAGGGGGAAAGUGGGGGAUCGCAAGACCUCACGUUAUUCGAGCGGCCGACGUCUGAUUAGCUUGUUGGUGAGGUAAUGGCUCACCAAGGCGACGAUCAGUAGCUGGUCUGAGAGGACGACCAGCCACACUGGAACUGAGACACGGUCCAGACUCCUACGGGAGGCAGCAGUGGGGAAUUUUGGAC